CAGACGAUGCGUCAUGCAUAUCAAUAAGCGGAGGAAAAGAAAAUAACAAUGAUUUCCCUAGUAACGGCGAGUGAACAGGAAAGAGCUCAAAGUUGGAACCUGCUUGACUUAGUUAAGCCGGAUUGUAAACUGUAGAAACGUUUUCUAGGCAAGCCGAGUUAAAAAGUCCUUUGGAACAGGGCAUCAUAGAGGGUGAGAAUCCCGUCUUUGACUCGAGUAUUUUGUCUUUUUAUGAUACGUUUUCCAAGAGUCAGGUUGUUUGGGAAUGCAGCCUGAAUUGGGUGGUAAAUCUCACCUAAAGCUAAAUAUUUGCGAGAGACCGAUAGCGAACAAGUACCGUGAGGGAAAGAUGAAAAGAACUUUGAAAAGAGAGUUAAACAGUACGUGAAAUUGUCAAAAGGGAAGCGUUUGACACCAGUGUUGUUUUCUCGAAAAUCAAUUAAAAAGAGUUAGAUUUUGUUGUGUAUUGACCUUAACAGCUUGCAUUUCAAUUUUCUUGCUUUUUUUAAUGCACUUUUCGUUUAACAAGUCAACAUCAGUUUCUUUUGUUGUAAAAAGGUCAUUGGAAGGUGGCUUUCUUUUCGGAGAAAGUGUUUAUAGCCUUUGACUCCUGCAAUCGGAGAGACUGAGGUCUGCAGCGUAGAUCCUUCGGGGUUAGAUACAUUUGUGCUAAGUUAUAGCUUUUUAUAGACAACUUGUUGACUAUGAUUAGUCUUGUAGCUUACUCGCUUAUGCUAUUUUACCUACGCUUAGGAUGUUGAGUCGUAGAGCACGCAG
RNAcentral lists this ribosomal RNA (777 nucleotides) under uncultured Neocallimastigales. RNAcentral describes it as "partial large subunit ribosomal RNA". It matches the Rfam family "Eukaryotic large subunit ribosomal RNA", at positions 18 to 622 of the family's 3401-position model. Lineage: Eukaryota; Fungi; Neocallimastigomycota; Neocallimastigomycetes; Neocallimastigales. The record is from RNAcentral.